AGCGAACGCUGGCGGUAGGCCUAACACAUGCCAGUCGAACGGCAGCACAGUAAGAGCUUGCUCUUACGGGUGGCGAGUGGCGGACGGGUGAGGAAUAUAUCGGAAUCUACUUUUUCGUGGGGGUUCACGUAGGGAAACUUACGCUAAUACCGCAUACGCCCUACGGGUGAAAGCAGGGGAUCUUCGGACCUUGCGCGAUUGAAUGAGCCGAUGUCGGAUUAGCUAGUUGGCGGGGUAAAGGCCCACCCAGGCGACGAUCCGUAGCUGGUCUGAGAGGAUGAUCGGCCACACUGGAACGGGGACACGGUCCAGACGCCUACGGGGGGCAGCAGUGGGGAAUAUGGGACAAUGGGCGCAAGCCUGAUCCAACCAUACCGCGUGGGUGAAGAAGGCCUUCGGGUUGUAAAGCCCUUUUGUUGGGAAAGAAAAGCAGCAGGUUAAUACCCCGCUGUUCUGACGGUACCCAAAGAAUAAGCACCGGCUAACUUCGUG
This 492-nucleotide ribosomal RNA is filed under the name uncultured bacterium. RNAcentral describes it as "partial 16S ribosomal RNA". It matches the Rfam family "Bacterial small subunit ribosomal RNA", at positions 29 to 507 of the family's 1533-position model. The record is from RNAcentral.